RNAcentral lists this ribosomal RNA (426 nucleotides) under Leptodactylus petersii group sp. ABGD cluster 93. RNAcentral describes it as "partial large subunit ribosomal RNA". It matches the Rfam family "Bacterial large subunit ribosomal RNA", at positions 1835 to 2457 of the family's 2925-position model. Lineage: Eukaryota; Metazoa; Chordata; Amphibia; Anura; Leptodactylidae. The record is from RNAcentral.
CUUGCAACCAAUAAGAGGUCCAGCCUGCCCAGUGACUCUGUUCAACGGCCGCGGUAUUCUAACCGUGCAAAGGUAGCGCAAUCAUUUGUCCUUUAAAUAAGGACUAGUAUGAACGGCACCACGAAAGCUAUACUGUCUCCUUCCCCUAAUCAGUGAAACUAAUCUUCCCGUGAAGAAGCGGGGAUAAUUUUAUAAGACGAGAAGACCCUAUGGAGCUUUAAACACACAACAAUUGUCACGGACCUACCCCCUUCCCCGGAAGAAACCGCCAACCCGAACAUUUUGAUUGCAAGUUUUAGGUUGGGGUGACCACGGAACAAAAAAUAACCUCCAUGGUGAAUAGGAUUCCUUCCCUUAAACCCAGGGCCACGACCCUAAGGAUCAAUAAAUUGACACCCAUUGACCCAAUACUUUUGACCAACGAAC